This 258-nucleotide ribosomal RNA is filed under the name uncultured bacterium. RNAcentral describes it as "partial 16S ribosomal RNA". It matches the Rfam family "Bacterial small subunit ribosomal RNA", at positions 793 to 1055 of the family's 1533-position model. The record is from RNAcentral.
GUCCACGCCCUAAACGAUGAAUACUCGCUGUUAGCGAUAUACAGUUAGCGGCUAAGCGAAAGCGUUAAGUAUUCCACCUGGGGAGUACGCCCGCAAGGGUGAAACUCAAAGGAAUUGACGGGGGCCCGCACAAGCGGAGGAGCAUGUGGUUUAAUUCGAUGAUACGCGAGGAACCUUACCCGGGCUUGAAAGUUAGUGAACUUACCAGAGAUGGUAGGGUCCGCAAGGACACGAAACUAGGUGCUGCAUGGCUGUCGU